GCCGGGCGCGGUGGUGAGUGCCUGUAGUCCCGGCUACUCCGGAGGCUGAGGCUGGAGGACGGCUUGAGCCCCGGAGUUCUGGGCUGUAGUGCGCUAUGCCCAUCGGGUGUCCGCACAAAGUUCGGCAUCAACAUGGUGACCUCCUGGAAGCGGGGGACCACCAGGUUGCCUAAGGAGGAGUUAACCCGCCCAGGUCGGAAACAGAGCAGGUCAAACCUCCCGUGCUGAUCAGUAGUGGGCUCUCGCCUGUGAAUAGCCACUGCACUCCAGCCUGGGCAACAUAGCAAGACCCCAUCUCU
RNAcentral lists this signal recognition particle RNA (299 nucleotides) under Saimiri boliviensis boliviensis (Bolivian squirrel monkey). RNAcentral describes it as "Metazoan signal recognition particle RNA (ENSSBOG00000006478.1)". It matches the Rfam family "Metazoan signal recognition particle RNA". From Rfam's summary of the family: The signal recognition particle (SRP) is a universally conserved ribonucleoprotein. It is involved in the co-translational targeting of proteins to membranes. The record is from RNAcentral. Lineage: Eukaryota; Metazoa; Chordata; Mammalia; Primates; Cebidae.